UCCUCCAAACCGCCCCCAAAUCAACUCGACCUGCCCUCCAUGGCCGCUCCACCCCACCACCGCCACCCCAAUCGUGAUGUGCCCUCGCCACCGCAACCAACCACCGCACCCCCGCCUACACCCCCAGCCACCGCGAGUCCCCGACCCCUGCCUUCGUCGCCCCCAACGCCCCACCGCAGCACCACCGAGCAUACAGCUGACACAGAUCUAGGUCGCCGCCGACCGGCCCCAUCGCCGAGCCACUCCACCGCCGACCACUGUCCUCCGCCUAACGCUCCAUUGCCACCACCAUACUCUGCGAGCUUCCUCCCCCGAGCAGGACUUGUCACCGGUGCACCGACCAAGGCCUCCUCCUCUUUGUCCUCUGCCCCAAGCAACGGAGCGUCCAUCCCCUCCCGCGAGCAGCUCUGCCUCCUCUACUUCCUUGUCCCAAAGAGAGCAUUUGAUAGGGAUCAAGUUGUUGGGUGGCCGCCUCGUGGGAGCUACCGGAAGAACACACUAGCCGCCAAUGCUACAAAGACCAAGGUGGAGAACAAAGGUAAAAGCAAGGCAUGAUACUGCUAUGUCAAGGUCAGCAUGAAUGGAGUCCCAUACCUAAGGAAGGUCGACCUCAAGACUUAACUCGAGCUAUACAAGAAUCUUUCUCUAGAGCUCGAGACGAUGUUCAGCUGCUUCAUCACUAGAUUGCGUACACUAUGAUCAGAUCUGUUUGGCAGAUUUGAGUACCCUGAGCUCAUCUCAUUUGAAGAAAGCAGCAUUUUUCAGUUUCAGAUUCAUGUCGGCAUACAAAGCUAAUAGUACCACACCAAGCAAUCAUGAAAACAAAUAUUCUUGCAAAACAUCAACAAGAGACAGGCUCACAAAUGGUUCUAGGAUAAAUGCUCUUAGGGACCAGGAGUAUGUCCUAACCUAUGAAGAUAAGGAUGCUGAUUGGAGCUCUUUGGCGAUCUUCCUUGGUUUCUAAAAGAUGCAGAAGUUGAUGGAAGUUUGGAAGAUCUACAAGUUGCUGGAGGUUUGGAAGAUCUACAAGUUAGUGGAGUGAUAACAUAUAUGUAAUAUGUCUUGUUUGUUGAACCUGGAGACAUUGCAAAGUUUUACUCUGCUCAUUUUGGUGGUUGUUUUGGCACACAAGCCAUUGUAUCCUCAUUUUGCUUGUGGGCCACAAUUUUUGUUUAUCUUGAAACAUAUGUACAUAUGUCUUUGGUCUGUUUAUAUUAUUGAAUGAGGCCUUACAGAUAACUU
Long non-coding RNA from Triticum dicoccoides, 1242 nucleotides. RefSeq lists it as uncharacterized. The transcript has 5 exons. The record is from RefSeq and is a predicted model, not a curated record. Lineage: Eukaryota; Viridiplantae; Streptophyta; Magnoliopsida; Poales; Poaceae.